UACGGAGGAGGCAAGCGUUAUCCGGAAUUAUUGGGAGUAAAGCGUCCGCAGGUGGCAGUUCAAGUCUGCUGUCAAAUCUUGCAGCUUAACCGGAUAUAGGCAGUGGAAACUGGAGAGCUAGAGUGCAAUAGGGGUAGAGGGAAUUCCCGGUGUAGCGGUGAAAUGCGUAGAGAUCGGGAAGAACACCAGUGGCGAAAGCGCUCUACUAGGUUGCAUCUGACACUGAGGGACGAAAGCUCGGGGAGCGAAUGGG
This 253-nucleotide ribosomal RNA is filed under the name uncultured bacterium. RNAcentral describes it as "partial 16S ribosomal RNA". It matches the Rfam family "Bacterial small subunit ribosomal RNA", at positions 524 to 776 of the family's 1533-position model. The record is from RNAcentral.